Lolium perenne is the source of this 2679-nucleotide non-coding RNA. The record is from RefSeq and is a predicted model, not a curated record. Lineage: Eukaryota; Viridiplantae; Streptophyta; Magnoliopsida; Poales; Poaceae.
GGCCCAGGAAAAAUACCCCUAUUAGAUUUUGCCUGUUGUCUUUUUGUUUUGUGCAUCAUCAUUGCAUCAUGCAUAUCAUACCAUGUCACUUUGGUUCUUAUCAAAAAUUUCCUUGGAUUUUAUUUGCCCUCUUUAUUUUAUAUGAUUGGUUUUUCUCUCUCUCUCUUCUCUCUUGUUCUACCUCUAUCUCACUUGAGAUGUUCCAAUCUAAAACCUAGUCAUUCUAUUCCUACACUUGACCACUCUCCAAAUGGUCAUGCCAAAUCUUUCUAGUAAAUAUGGGUUAAUAUUAUACCCUCUCCUUAAUCUCUUAUCUUGUAAUUAUUCAACAUAACAAUUAACUUUUGGUUUACUAAAAUACUUUGUUUGGGUUAAUCCAAACCAAUAGUGAAAUCAAAAUUAUUUACAAACCUUCCUCUUCCCAUUCCGAUUCAAAUUGGUUUUGGUUUUGGUUUGAAUAAAAACCAGAAAAGAAAAUGAAAUAAAUUGGAAAAGAAAGAAAAAUCAAAAUAGCAACCAGGCCCAGGAGCACCCGGCCUUCUUCUUUUUCCUGUCUUUGGUCAUGGUCGUCCCGUGAUUCUGUUGCCUCACAGCCGGAGCAUCUCCACCUGCUCCCUGUACUUUUCCCCUCUCCUCAAUCGAGCCCCAACCAGCCCUAGCUUUCCUCCUUCCUCUAGCCGCCGCCGUUUCUCUCUUCCACCUCUGUCGCAUCAUCACACAAAACUAUCCCAGUGAAGAUUUCAGUUUUCAUCCGUAGCAUCAAAGAAAACUGCCGGAGAUUGCCGUCCUUGCCGUUGUUGUUCGCCGCUGUUCGCUGCGCCGAGCAUGGGGAUGGAGCCGCCGUGGUGCCCUCUUCCUCCUCGCUGAGUCCUCGAAGCAGGAGCAGCUCCGGGACGUCUUCCACAACAACGCCGCCGCCGUCGCCGUCGUCGCGGGCGCUGUCGAGUUCAUCGUCCGUCUGACCGUCAUCUGCUUCCUCGAUUUUUUUUUACUCCGCCAUCGCAGUCCCAGCUGGCAUUUGCUUCUUCCCGGAUAGGAUCACGAAGUGGUGCGGUGAGAUACGCCAAGUUCUUCGGAUGUUCCUCGGCAAGCUUUAACAGGAAAGCAUUUCCCCUAUACUCCUGCCCCUGCAGAAGUCGCACACCUAUUUUAUUUUGCUUUCUCCCUUAUGCUAUCCUUGAGUUGCGUUCUUGUCACGUGUCCCUUCCACUUGUUACCCCAAGCAGCCUAUAUUGCCUCCACCAACCACCUACAGCUAUUGUUUGGUUAUCGGGUCUGCCUUGCGAGUCGUAGUGCAUGCUAGUGCUGUUAUAUCUCGUUACCGUUACCGCUAUCUUAUCGGUUAUCUGUUGGGAAUCAUGACACAUGCUACAUGGUUAUAUCUGUUGAGGGAAUCAUGGUUACUUGUUAAUAGUUGUUAGCGGAGGCAUCGGUGGGUCAGCUGAUCGUUUUGUGACGGCUCACUCGUGUUUCUUGAUAAAUUAGGACCCCGAGUUCUUGUUAUCUGUUCCGAGACUGAGCGCUCUAACCACACGUGGGUAUGUUUCUGGGUCUCCCCUCGACCACUGCCCGAAUCUACAGCUUUGUCCAGUGGCCACAACUAGUUUAUAUGUUUUCAUUUGGUUAUUGCGUGCAUGCCAGCUUGUUACUUAUUUACUUUGGGAAGCCCCUAGAUGCCUUGUAUCCCUUGUUUCUGGUAUGCACGUAUAGGUUCGCGGCCUGCGCGUUUAUCGUAUGCUGAAGCGGGUCAUUCGCCCCAGUGUGUGUUCUGACCCUCGGAAGCCGUUCUCGCAAACAGCUAGGUCCGUCUCGGAGAUUCGGCAGGACUUCGAUUCGGGUUCAACUUAAUUAGGUGGCUUCCUGGACAUUGUUGUCGUGAAGAAGAGUGCGAGUCGUGACACUCCACCUUUUUGCCAUUGCCUUUGGAGUUGAUCGUGCGUGUGGGCACAUUUGGGCACCCCUGCAGGGUUACAUCUUAUCGAUAAGCCGUGUCCGCGGUUAUGGACGACUUGGAGCUGUAUGACUCGAUCAUAGACAACUUACACAUGUUGUUUAUUAAUAAUAACUUGCGUAGUAAGUUAGUACAACUUCAAUAAUAAAUGGUUAAAACUUGACAAUCGUGUGAGUGCCUUUAUAAGUACUUCUUGGCGAAGGGGGAACACAUCGGCUGUGUUAUGUUUGCAGAGUAUAGAACUGUUAGUUUAUGCGCUCUCUCACCUUCCCUGUUUAGACGAAUGUUGUAGAGUGUCUCUAUAGGUUUUUAGUGCUUGCGCGCUGCCGCUUAACCCCACCAUAUUUCCUAUGACGUUCCUCUUGCGUCAUCUAAGUCCCCUGCGUGCCUCAAGUACAAAGGACGAUUGGUUGACGAAUGCUUAUACGUCUUGAAGUCUUGUUAAGUACGAACCCGUACUUAUUGCUGCUUCUACGGGAUAUAACCGGGCAGGUAUGAAGAUAUGUUCGAUGAAGACGAUGUUAGCGAGGGUACCCUUCCGGCUUGGCCUGGGCAGGGUUAUGGACGCCACUGGUUAUCUUCAGGACUCUUAGUCCAAUUUGUAUCUUGUCCGUACUCGGAUGUAUUUGACCUUCUGUAUGAUUUGGAUCUUUGUAUGUACCUAUUUGUAUCUUGACUCGUUGGAGUCGUUGUUGUAAUAUAUAUGUUUCUUGUGGGCUCUAUUGUAA